GGGAUUACGGGAGUGAGCCACCACACCAGAACUGAUCUUUCUAACACAGGGAAAUUGUAUUCUUUAGAAGUGGAGGAAUAUUUCCUAGUAAUUUGAUCAAGUAAAAAUAAUUAUAAUAAAGAAGGUAAAAUCAAGCCCUAAUUCCCCAUGUAGGGGAAUAAUAUCAUUUUGGUAAGAUUCUUCCAGACAGUAUGAUUAGGAUGUUACAUAAAUCAAACUGUGCUAUAUACAGUAUGCAGAGAAGGAAAUUCCUUAGCUUGUCUAAAGUCUGAUAGUGUGAAGAAUUUGCUGACCUGCUCUCCAUGCCUGUCUGAGCACGAGUGAAGUGAAUCAGAGAGAGAUUGCAAGAUGGAGAAAGGAGGUACAGUUGGAGAGAGUGGAGGGGGCAGGAAAGACCAGACAGAGCUGCAUCUCCCAUGAAAACAACUGUGUACAUAAGAUAGAGUGAGUACAUAGAGUACAUAGAAGAGUGAGCUCUGAAAGAACUCUCACAUGGACCCCAGAAAGAGGAGUACUCAACGCCUGCUGCACAGAAGGCAUCAGCAGUUAAGUACUGGCUAGAAAAGCGGAGUCCAUCAAAGGAGAGGACCACAGUGGUAGCUGCCUGCUAAAGCUCUCAGCGUGAAUCAUGUUCCAUCAAUGAAACACACACACAUGUGCAAUAUGGAAGAUGAGUGAAAUCCAGGCUAUCUUCCUGAAGCUACUGUUCCUGGCAAGUGUAGCUGUGGGGACUGAGUUUUGGGCAGCAGCAAAUAACUCCCAGCUUCCAUGUGCUUGAGAGUCAGUUGCCGGGAUGCCAGCAGCUGCAUCCUCAGUCUAAGAUUGCAGCCAAUGAUGAUGUUUUCAUGAAUCCACCGUUCACGUGGCAGCCUCCUGGAGCUCAGACUGAUGCCUGCUCCUCCAGCCUUCCAAUACCUUUGCAAACACCUGAAUUCCACAUUAAUCUCUCUCUGUUUAGAAUACCCAGAGUGGCUUGUGUUUCCUGGGCUGAACCCUGCCUGGAGAGCUGUCCCUGCAAGCUGAACUAACAGAAGAUGAAGAAUGAGGUCUCCCUGAAAUGCCCACCAUAAGACUGCCAGAUAUGGGACUGCUGGAUGACACUCUGGCUACCCCACUGAGUUUUAUGAAAACAUAACAGAAUAAAGACACUUACUUGUCAACUCAGUUACAAGCUAUUGAGGCACUCCAGAGUGACGGCAUGUGAUCCCCCUGACACAAGAAACAGGCCCAGAUAACACACCGUUCAGACCGACAGCAGUUCUGGUUAUGCUGCAGUACAUCAGACGAGUGCUCUUAUCCAUCCACAGUUCUUAUCACAGUUACUUAUGCAUAUAUUCAUUUUUUAUAUAAAAGAAUCUUGAAUCGGUCACUUAAAUAUUGAAUCUCAAUAAUAAAAAAUACUAAAAGUAUA
RNAcentral lists this long non-coding RNA (1411 nucleotides) under Homo sapiens (human). RNAcentral describes it as "PREDICTED lncRNA (TCONS_00026675)". Lineage: Eukaryota; Metazoa; Chordata; Mammalia; Primates; Hominidae. The record is from RNAcentral.